CAGUAGCCGCGGUAAAACGUAGGUGGCAAGCGUUGUCCGGAAUUAUUGGGCGUAAAGGGCUCGCAGGCGGUCUCUUAAGUCUGAUGUGAAAGCCCCCGGCUCAACCGGGGAGGGUCAUUGGAAACUGGGAAACUUGAGUGCAGAAGAGGAGAGUGGAACUCCACGUGUAGCGGUGAAAUGCGUAGAGAUGUGGAGGAACACCAGUGGCGAAGGCGGCUCUCUGGUCUGUAACUGACGCUGAGGAGCGAAAGCGUGGGGAGCGAACAGGAUUAGAUACCCGCGUAGUCCCUGUCUCUUAUAU
RNAcentral lists this ribosomal RNA (301 nucleotides) under uncultured bacterium. Its description in RNAcentral is "partial 16S ribosomal RNA". It matches the Rfam family "Bacterial small subunit ribosomal RNA", at positions 509 to 809 of the family's 1533-position model. The record is from RNAcentral.